UGCCUCCCAAGUGCUGGGAUUAAAGGCGUGUGCCACCACACCCAGCAAUGUUAACUCUUUUAAGUGUAUUCUUCUAUAUAUGUUUGUUUAUAUGUAUUACAUAUAUAAAUAUAUGCACACUUUUAUUCACUAUAAUAUAGUGCUUUUACAAACUAGCAUAUGAAAAUGUUAUUCUACAUCAAUAGGUAAAGAUCUAUUUAAUUAAUUUUUAAUUGGCUAGAUUUUUUUUUAAAUUUCAAAAGGAUGUAGCACAUAACUUUAAUAAACCAUUCAAAAGAAAAACCUUACUAUUGGAAUGUUUUUAAAGUCUAACUUACUUUUAACUUUCUCUGAAUCUUUAAGGUUUUUUUUUUUUCAGUCUUAUUUUAAACUUUUAUUUCAAUUGUUUCAAAGUUUUUGUUUUGCUUUGUUUUGUUUCUUUUCUCUAUAAACAUCCCACCAUACACUGGGACUUAUUUUCCAGAAUAGAGGGUUGGAUGCAAAAUUGAAAGUUUGACUUUUUUUAAUUUGUUUUUUGAACAUAGCACAUAAUAGAUAUCAUUAUGACUUUUUAUACAUAAUAUGCUGUUAUGUUUUCUUUCUCUCUCCCUGAUCCCUAGUCUUCAUUUCCCCCUUUGCCUUGCCACAGGUUCAUUCUUCUUUUUCUUCCUCCUGUUUCUCUUAAGAUCUUUUUCACAGUCCCCUUUUUGUUUUCAGGGCCUACAACACACACGCACACAUGCACACAUGUACAUAAAUAGAUAGAUAUUAUCGUGUGUAGACACCUAUAUGAAUUUAAAUCAACUGUCUGUAUUAUUAAGUCUAACAAAUAUUCACCAGUUACAUUAAUUUCCCUUGAAUAUUUAUGAUUCUUUUCCUUAUUGCUGAAUUAAAUUCAGUUGUGUGUAUGUUUAUCAAAAUUUUUUAUCCAUUUGUUUGUGGCUGUCUAAGCUGGUUCAGUUUUCUAGUUGUUAGAAAUGCUGCAGUAAUAACUGUGGGUGUAUAAGUAUCUCUGUGGUAUAUUGAUAUACAACCCUUGAGGUAUAUAAUCGGGAGAGUUAUUACUAGGUCAUCUAAUAGUUCUGUCUUUAAUUAUAUGAAGAGCUGGCACACUGGCUCUCAUCAUGGCUUAAGAGGGUGACAUAGUCAUAGGCAGUAUAUGAGGAUUCCUUUUUUUUUUACAUCCUCACCAGCAUUUAUCAUCAUUUUUUAAGAUUAAUUUCAUUACUAUUUAUUGAAUUGUGUGCUGUGCCAGUAUGUACAUGUGAGUGCAGGGACUGGCAGAUUUGUGGAGCCAGUACAUAUACAGUUGUGAGUCUCCUGGUGUGUUUGUUGGGAACCAAACUUGGGUUCUCUGCCAGAGAAUAUAUGCUCUUUUCUCUAGUCCCAUUAGUUGGUUUUUGUUUUGAAAACUAUUCUAACCAGGGUAAAAUAGAAUCUCAAAGCAAUUUAAAUUGGUAUUUGCCCUGAGGGCUAAGGGUGGUGAGCCCCUUAUCAAGUACUUUUUAGCUAUUUCUGUAUUUUUCUUUUGGAAAUUCUUUUAUUAAUUGUAUUUUUUGGUGUUUAAGUUUUAUUAUCCUAUAUAUUUUAUAUAGUAAUGUUCUGUCUGAUAUAUAAUUAUAAAAAGCUCCCAUUCUGUCAUACGUCAUUCUACAGUUACUUUCCUUUUGAUUUGUAGGAGCUUCUUAAUUUCUUUUUUUUUUUUUACUUUAUUUACAUUUCAAAUGUUAUCCCCUUUCCCUGGUUUCCCUUCCUCUGAGAAACACCCUAUCACAUUCCUCCUCCCCCUAUUUCUAUGAGGGUUUUCCUCCAUCCACCCACCCACUCCCACCUCCCCAACCUUGAUUCCCCUACACUGGGGCAUCUAUUGCACCUUCAUAGGACCAAGGACCUCUCCUCCCAUUGAUGCAUGACAAGGCCAUCCUCUGCUACAUAUGCAGCUGGAGCCAUGUGUACUCCUUUCUUGAUGGCUUAGUCCCUGAGAGUUCUGGGGGGUCUGGUUGACUGGUAUUGAUGUUCUUGCUAUGGGGUUGCAAAGCCCUUCAGAGCUUCUUAACUUCAGAGCCCAUUUGUCAGUCCUUGGGAUUCUGCAUUAGAGAUCCCUUUUCAGAAGUUCUUGCCUCUGCUUGAUACAAAGAGCAUUGUUACCUAAGCUUCGUCCAGAGGUUGCUGACCCUUGAGUUAUUUUUGUGCAGGGUGAGGGAUGUGGAUCACUGCAUUUUUCUGUAUGUGGAUAUUCAGUUUCCCCACUUGUCCAUUUGUUAAAGAGACGGUUUUCCUUUACUAUGUGCUUUGACUCCUUUUUGAAAAUUGGGUCUCUAGUUGUGUGAGUUGUUUUCUGCAUCUUCUUUUUUGUUACACUGUUUUUCAAGUUUAUUUUAAUGGCAGUACCAUGCACUUCUUACUGCUUUGACUCAAUAGUAUAAUUUCAGAUCAGAAAUUAUAAUAAUAUUUUGAAAUAAGUACAAAAAGCCAAAUUAUUCUUUAGGAAUGUUUGUAAGUAGUGAGUUUGAAAGCCAAACAAGGACAUCAUGAUAAAUGGUAGCCAAAUUCCUCAAACAUUUUAACUUAAAACAAUUGAGUAUAUAUUUAUUCACCUUCUUCUGAUGGAAAAGCAAGAGAUUUCUUUGUGUCGAACAUAUUAGCACAGGGGAAAUUUUCCUGAACAGAAAACCAAAGGCUCAUACUCUAAGAUCAACAAUUGACAAAUAGGACCUCAUAAAAUUCAAAAGCUUCUGUAAGGCAGAGAACACUGUCAAUAGGACAAAAUGGCAACGCACAGACUGGGGAAAGAUCUUUACCAACCCUACAUAUGGUAGAGGGAUAAUAUUCAAAAUAUACAAAGAACUCAAGAAGUUAGACUCCAGAAAACCAAAUAACACUAUUAAAAAUGGGGUACAGAGCUAAACAAAGUAUUCUCAACUGAGGAAUCUCUAAUGGCCGAAAAGCACCUAAAGAAAUAUUGAACAUCCUUAGUCAUCAGGGAAAUGCAAAUCAAAACAACCCCGAGAUUCCACCACACAUCAGUCAGAAUGGCUCAGAUCAAAGAUUCAGGUGGCAGCAGAUGCUGGUGAGGACUUGGAGAAAGAGAAACAUUCCUCCAUUGCUGAUGGGAUUACAAGCUGGUACAACCACUCUGGAAAUCAGUCUGGCGGUUCCUCAGAAAAUUGGACUUAGUAUUACCUGAUGACCCAGCUAUACCACUCCUGAGCAUAUACUCAGAAGAUGCUCCAACUUGUAAUAAGGACACAUGCUCCACUAUGUUCAUAGAAGCCUUAUUUAUAAUAACCAGAAGCUUGAGAGAACCCAGAUGUCCCUCAGCAGAGGAAUGGAUACAGAAAAUGUGGUACAUUUACACAAUGGAGUACUACUCAGCUAUUAAAAACAAUGACUUCAUGAAAUUCUUAGGCAAAGGGAUGGAACUAGAAAAUAAUCAUCCUGAAUGAUGUAACCCAGUCAGAAAAGAACACACAUGGUAUGUACUCACUGAUAAAUGGAUAUUAGCAAACAAAAACAAAAACAAAAACAAAAACAAAACAAAAAACCCACAAUGCUCGAAAUACCCACCUUACAACUCAAAGACCAUAUGAAAGCCAAGAAGAAAUAAACUCACACCAAAGUGUGUGGAUGCUUCAGUCCUACUCAGAAGGGGGAAGAAAAUAAUCAUGGGAGGUAGAGGGAGGGAGGAAUGAGAGGAGGGGAGGAAAAAGGGAGCUAGAAUCAGGUGUGGGAGGACACAGGGCACGGGGAGAGAAGUCAGAAGGUCAGAAAAUUGAACAGUGGUGUAUAGAAUUGGGGGUUGGGGAACUCGGGGAGCAGGUAGCCAUUAGAAAGUCCCAGAUGCCAGGGAUGCAAGAGGAUUCCAAGACCCAACUGGGGUGACAUUAGCAGAAAUACCCAACAACAGGGAGAGUGAACCUGUAGAUACCAUAUGCACUGGAUAGGCUUGGCUCUUGGUUGAAGGAUGGGGCCACCCACCCACCCAUCUCAAAAUAUUCCAGAAUUGCUCCUGUCAAAAGGAAAUGCAGUGACAAAGAGUGGAGCAGAGACUGAAGGAAAGGUCAUCCAGAGACUGCCCCACCUAGGGAUCCAUCCUAUCUGCAAACAGCAAACCCAGAUACUAUUGCUGAUGUCAACAAGUGCUUGCUGAUAGGAGCCUGAUAGAGCUUACCCUCUGCAUCUUGCUGUCCCCUGACCAAUACAGAUGUGGAUGCACACAGCCAACCUUCAGACUAAGCAUAGGGACCCCAAUGGAGGAGUUAAGGGAAGGACUGAAGGAGCUGAAGGGUUUGCAACUCCACAGGAAGAACAACAAUAUCAACAAACCAGACCCCCACACACACAAAGUUCCCAAGGACUAAACCACCAACCAAAGUCAAAUAUAGAAAUAGGCUCAGUAAUGCCCCACUUGAGGUGACAUUUUACACAUUACAGUCCCAAAGGAUGAACAGUUGUUCUUGUUUUUUGUUUUUGUUUUUGUUUGUUUGUUCUACCUUAUGCUCUUAACUUUUUUCUAAAAGAAAAAAAAAGUUCUUGUUGGUUGCUGGUGUAGUACCCCAGAGGCAGUAACUGUGGGAGAAGAGUGGCCUGCCACAUAGCAGCACUCCUCCUUUUGUAAGAGCCUCCCAUUUUUCUGUUGAGAUCUCUGGGUUGGGAGAAAGUUAUAAGGCAUCAAAGUGCUGUUCAGCUGACCCAAAACUCAGAGGACUGUAGUCCCUCUCCACCAGAAAUCUUAAUAAAGCCAAGAAAAUGUGUACUACAGAAAAGGCUGCAGCCAUGACAGCAGUGUGCCUAGAAUGUCUAUAAUGCUUCCUAUUUUAGACCCAGCUUUUUAGGUUUUUCCACUUUCAUGAAAAACACAUUUUUAAAAUAUGUCCUUUUGACUCCUCUAAAUUUCCCUGGUAUCAGUUGUAAUGUCUCUUCUUUCAACUCUUAAUUUUAUUAAUUUGAAUCAUCUACCCCCAUCUCUUUGGUUAAUUUGGCCAAGGUUUGUCAAUCUGUAUUUUCUUAAAGGACCAACUCUGUUCCAUGGAUUCCUUAUCUUUGUUUUGUUGGUUUGUUUUGUUUUUAUCUUUUACUGAUUUCAUCUCUGAGUUUAUUUCUUCCCAUGUACUCGUUUUGAGUAUUAUUUCUUCCUGGGUUUUUUUUUUUUUUUUUAGAACUUUAGGCUGUAUCAUUAAAUCAUUAUUAUUUGUUAUUUGUUUGUUUGUGGAAUGUUUUUCAUUCUCCAUCAAUUGUAAUUGAUAAUUUUGCUGUCUAUAGUAGUAUGGUCUGGCACCUCUGAUUUCACAGAAUUGCAGAACAUCCAUUAAGACCCUCUGUGUUUUAGUGUCUCUAUUGAAAAGUCAGGGAUUAUUCUAAUGGCCCUGCCUUUAUAUGUGACUUGAUAUUUUUUCCUUUAUAGAUUUUAAUAUUCUUUCUUUGUUCUGUAUAUUAGUUUUUUGAUUACUAUGUGUUGUGGGAAGUUUCUGGUCCUUUUAGAAUUCUGGAAUUUAGAAUUUGGAAUUUAGAAUUCUGUAUACAACCUCUUACACUUUGACAGGCAUCUCUUUCUUUAGAUUGUGAACAUUUAAUUGUCUAGUUAUUUUGGUUGUUAAAAAUAUUUUCUGGGUCAUUGACCUGGGUUUUUCUCCUUUUUCUUUACCAAUUAUUCACAGUUUUGAUCUUUUUUUAGUAUCACAUAUUUUGUGUAUGUUUUGUACCUGUAUUUUUGUAGAUUAAUGCUCUAACUUAUCUGUAAGACUAAAUUCUCUCUUCCAUGUCUUCUAAUCUGUUUGUGACGCUUACCUCUGAGCUUUGUUUUGAUAUCCCAAGAUUUUCAUUUCUAAUUUUAUUUUAGUUUGGGUUUUCUUUAAUGAUUCUAUUUCUUUGUUAAGUUACUUUUAUAUCUUAAAUUGUUUUUUUUUAUUUUUUUCAACUGUGUUGCUGAGACUUCAUUGAGUAAUGUAGCUAUAUCUUCUUUAAGAUCAUUGAAUAUGUUUAUAAUUUCUGUUUUCAAAUCAUUGUCUGUUGCUUCAGCUAAAUUGCUUUUCUCAGGACCUAUUGCAGUAAAGUUGCUGGUUUCUGAAGGAGCCCUAUUGGGUUGUCUGUUCAUGUUUGUAUUUUGUGCUGGGAACUAGGCUCCUGGACUUACAGUGUUUGAUGUGUUUCUUAGCAUACAUAUCUAGUCUCAUCUUCAUUGUUUGGGUGGGUGUUCUGUUUUUUGGAAGUUAUUGCCUCUGGAAUCUACCCAAGUAUUGUAGCUGUGGGGCCUCUAGUUGUUUAGCAUGUGUAACACAAAGAAAUGGAGAUGGGAUAAAAGGAAAGGCUGUAAGAGGACAGAGGAACGAGUUAGGGCGACCCUGAAUUUGCACCAAAAGGCAGAUUCCAGGGAAUGGAGGUGAGAUUGGAGGAGUUAUUCCUGAAGAUAGCCUAUAGCAAAACUAGGAAUAAGUCUAAAGAACUUUGAAAUGGAAGAAUAGUACAAAUUACCUACCUGAGUCUCAACCCAAUGUGGCCACUGAAGAUCCCUAGUGGAAUAUGUUUCUAUGGGUCAGUAAAAGGUAUCAACAACAAAAAGAAAAACAGAAAAAGCUAUAGUACUCACCAUAGUGCUUACUGCUAGCUAAUUACAACAGUACUCCAUCCUUCAGAAUGACUUUGGAACUGAGUAGUUCUAUCCUUUUUAUUGUUAAGUUUUAAACUUUUUGUGUUGUGAGAUUCCACCAUUUAUCCUGAGCUGGCCUUGAAUCCAUAGCAACCCUCUUCCCUCAGCAUUCUAAGACCUGAGAUUAUAGUCAUAGACUACUCUGCCUGGCUAUGUUUGAAAAUUUUAGACUAAAAAUUGAAAAAGAAGCUUUAGAUCACACAGACUAAAUAAAAGUCUCCACCAGUAAUGCUGGUGUAUAACUAGGAAAAUCAUCCCCACAUAUUGACUGGUUUGUGUUCCUCCACUGUUGUUGAGUCCUUUGGUCUCUGUGUCAUGACAUGUCACAGAGGCUCUAUCAGCAAUUUCUAGCAGAUUGAGUGAAUGGGUGGAUGACAUUAUUUAGUUAAGAAGAUAAUAGAUUUUAUAUUUCUAGAAGUUUUUUUAAAGAUAUGUUAUUCUUUGAAGCAAGAAUGAGAAAUAGACCCAAAUAUACAAUUUCAUAUAGUAUAUAUUACUAUGCUUUUUGUUGUUGUUGUUGUUGUUCUAUGCAUUGGGGAUUUAAGCUAAAGCCAUCUAAGGUACAAUUUCUGCAUUUAGUGACAGGACUGAUUUGGAAGAAAGUGGAAAAAUAUAGUCCAAUUGAAUAAAUUGGCAAAAUAAAGUACUUUGCUUAUCUGAGAGUAUUCUGGUAUAAUCCUUAGGUACAAAAAACAGCCAGUCUGGUUAUCUUGGCGAGUACAAAGGGCAAGAAUUGGAAAAAGAGAAGGAAAGUUGAGAACAGAUGUAGAUGAAAAACCAUCAUGUAGAUUUGAGCAAAACAUCAGACCCAGUCAGCCAUCACAACCACACACCUAUAACUGGCCACCUGGCCUGAAACAGGGCACCUAUUUAAAGCUCAGUGACAGCCUGGGCAGCACAGUAAGUUCCAGCUAAAAAAAAAAGUUAGAAUUAGUGACAGAGAGUGCUAUCACAUUCCUGUUUUAUAGCAUUAGACAUGUUCAUGAAUCUUUGGCAAUUUUUGUUUAAUGUGUGUUCAUGUGUGCACAUGGAUAUAUAUGUACGUGUGUACCUGAAAGCCAUAAGUUAAUAUUAGAACUCUUCCUCAGAUAAUGUCACUCAUUGACCCUGGAUCUCUUUGGUUCAGCUAGAUUGGCUGGCCAGUAGCUCCUGGACCCACCUCCCUACACCAACCAGCACUGGAACUAAAGGUGCUGACCACUCCGCUCCACUUAUAUAUGGCUCCAGUGCUGAAGAUCCACAGCCAGGUCCUCAGGGUUAUACUGACUGCCCCAUCUGGGGCAGAUAAAGGAAACUAGAACAUUUGAUAUGUUAUUGAUACUCUAAAAGAAACAGUCUGAACUAGUUUGGACUCACUAAUUAAACAAUUCGUUCUUUUGUCUUUGAUUUUAUAAUGUCCUGUUUCAAAAUAAGUAUUUGGUGUGAGCAUCUAACUUUAAAUAAACUUGUUCUUUUGUUGUGAAAUGAUAUCCAUCCCUCUUUUGACCAUUAUUUUACAUGUUUAGAAACCAAAAUAUAAAUAUAUUUAUCUUUCACAUAAAAUGUUCUUAUUAAUCUCUAAAUAUAAAGAUGCAGAUGUGAUAAGCAUUUUAUAAUAGUAGAAAAACACAGCAAUAUUUUAAUCUCAGAAUUUUAACAUGUCAUUAUUUAUAAUUUGCUUUAACCUUAUAAUAUGUACUUAUAAAAUAAUGGACUUUGAAUUAUAGGACAGUAUCAGAAUUUUAAGAAAACUUAAGGCCUUCAACAACUGUUCAUUACAUGACUUUUCAUGAACAUUGUGAAAGGAUUAGUAGUAACUAUUAUAUUCUAUAAAGCUGAAGUAGAAGAAAGGAUAAUUAAAUAAUAUGGAAAAUAAGACACAAAUUCUACUCUAUGCUUUUUGACUUAAAAUUAUUAAAAAUGCAGAAACUAAAGUGAAUAAAUAUUUAAAAGUCUUCAGUUUAAAAUUGUCAUUUAAGGAAAUAUUUUCUGUUUUUAUACUGGUUUCUAAUCUUUUUUAUUUUUCAAUUGGCUUAUUCUCUCUUGAACCAAGUUAAGGCAAUGUCUUUAGUACGUAUUUUUGAAGACUAAUGACAACACUUAUGACCUCCCAAAGCUGCUCCCUUGGUGAGCACUAAUGGUUUAUCUAGUGUCAAACAAGAUCUUUGCUUUCUUGAUUUUAGAUAAAUUUGCAGUGUGCUGCUUCACUCGUCAUGAUGUCGGCUGUUUACAUUUCAGCAAAAUGUUUGUCGUAACUUUCAAAUACUGGGGAACUGUAGACAGACAGUGUUUAUCAUGUUGCAGAGACUGUCAGGAACAGUUGGCCUCAACAUAACUGAGUCAAACCCAGUGUUUACAUUUUAAUCUACAAACUGUCAAGCCUGCUCACUACAGUGACCAAUUACAGCAUGAUAAGAUGAAUAGCACGCAGUUUUUAUAUAGAUUGCUCUGAAUUAGUCUUUCAAAGCCAUAUUUUAUAGUGGUGUUUCCUAAAAGAUGGGAAGAAGCCCAGCAGCAGUGUAGUGUUGCUGUCUUCAGAGUACAGUGUGGGCUUCACAUGUACAGUCCUUUGUGUUCACAGACUUUCCUAUCAUCUCCAAGUUCAUCGGAAAAAGCUGCUGCCAGGUAGAUAGAAAGAACUGGAGAAAGGAGGAUUCUCACUGUGUGAACACAGGCGUCAUGUUGAGUACUAGAGCUUUUUAAAGCUACUGGUCAGUUUCGGUUGUUCAGUUACUGAGUAGGAAUAAGGGAACUGUGUGAAUACAUUUAAUAUUUUUAUAUAUCUGCAAAUUUUACAUGUAUAAAAAUGACCAAUUUUACUGGUAUGUUUCCUCCCUGAGUAUUUACAUCAUUUCCUUUUUCAAAAUACCCAGUCCUCUGAGCUAACCCCUACUUGUCCUUCAAAAUAACGUCAGUAAUCUCUACCAAAAAGCAGCUUUCCCAGCUCCUCCUCAACUUAACUCGCCCAGCUCUAUCACAGCUGUAUUAUGAGUCAUUUACUACAUAUUAGUAAUUGCUGAUUAUCAUGUUUAUUUUUCCUACUAAAGUUUAAGUUCUUAAAAGGUAAAGACUACUUUUUUUAAACUUGUAUCACUGGUUAAAAUCAAAAACAGUGUUCUGCAUAUAAUAGGGUCAAAUAUUGAAUUGCUUAAUUUAGAACCUUAUUCUCCUCUUAGAUACUGCAAUUUUAAUAGGUCUUCUCUUGAUCUUUCCUUUUCUGUUCACUAAGGACCCCCAUCACAUAUUAUGCCUGCACCUUCCAUCAUUUCUUCAUGUCUUGGUUGAGGUGUUGUUUUUAUAGGCGCACCUCUCCCCUAUGUUCCACUGCCUGCUAUUUUCAGUUUUGUAUUCAAGAUGUCUUUCCUUCAGGAAGCUUGUGAUUGAUUCCAUCUUUAAUGUCAUAGGGUUGAAGAGUGAGCACUAUAAGCCCUAGAGUACUUACUGGAAAAAAAAUGAAUGACUGAUGAAGAAAGUGAUAAAUGAAAAGUCAUCAGGAACCUGAGACUCUGAAGGGACAAACUGUAUGUUGAAGGAAAGAAGGAAGUGGGUGAUGGGAAAAGUUAUCAGCAGAUGACAUGCCUAGGAAACUGGUGAUCCAGCCUUCUGUGUGGUGAGAAAGCAGUGCUGGCAGACUAGGCAUGUCAGCUGGCAGACUUGGAAACCCUUCAGCCAGCGUUUUCUGUGAAGUCAUUUGUGAACUCUUCAGCUUGCUGAUCUUGGACCCUCACAGAUAGGUGAGGAUGGCAGAACUCUCCCUCUUCCUCUGUCUUCCUGUCUGUCUUUGCUUCCAGGCUGCCAUUAGGUGAGCAGCUUUGCUCAACCAUGUGCUCCCCACGGUUGUCUGUCACUCCACAAGCCCAGAGCGCUCUGGCAGACAACUGGAACUGUGCUCCACCAUAAGCUGUUCUCCAUUGAGUUGUUUACGUCGCAUAUGUUGUUACAGCUUUGAAAAUGAACUCUCAAUUCUGCUAAAAACUGUUAAUUGAAUUAUUUUCAGUUUAUGUGUAUAAAGUAAUGUGAACUGUACAUUAAUUUCAUGUUUACACUUGUUUCCUAUCUCUAAGAUAAUCCAUAAUGGAUAUAUAAUUAUUCUGAAUUAUUCAAAAUCUAAAAGAAAUCUGAGUUCUGUAAUUUUUCUGUCAUUUAGGCAUUUUAGAUAUGGGAUGCUCAAUCUGUCCAUAAUUAACAUAUGCUAAUGAUGAUUUCCAGAGACAACAACCAUGAGAGCAUGCUCUCAAGUUCCUGUGUUACAAACUCAGAAGCCAAGUAUAGGUUCUAAAGAUUCAUAAAAUUCUUUGUUUGGAAAAACCAUGGAAAGAAUAAGAUAAUCUUAAGUAUGACAUGCUGAAUAGAUCUACACCUUUGACAUUGAUCCUGGCACCUGAUGCUUUGUUUUCUUUUUCUUUGACCACUGCUUUUUUAAAAACAUGGAGUGUCUGAAAAUUAAAUAAAAUGCCUAAGAGCCAAGAAUUAUUUAUACUUCAGGGAAGUCAGACCAUCACCUAGUCAUUGAAACAGAUUGAAACAGAAAGCGUGUGUGUGUGUGUGUGUGUGUGUGUGUGUGUGUGUUACGUGCGUGAAGCCAAGUAUAGGUUCUAAAGAUUCAUAAAAUUCUUUGUUUGGAAAAACCAUGGAAAGAAUAAGAUAAUCUUAAGUAUGACAUGCUGAAUAGAUCUACACCUUUGACAUUGAUCCUGGCACCUGAUGCUUUGUUUUCUUUUUCUUUGACCACUGCUUUUUUAAAAACAUGGAGUGUCUGAAAAUUAAAUAAAAUGCCUAAGAGCCAAGAAUUAUUUAUACUUCAGGGAAGUCAGACCAUCACCUAGUCAUUGAAACAGAUUGAAACAGAGAGCGUGUGUGUGUGUGUGUGUGUGUGUGUGUGUGUGUGUUACGUGCGUGAAGCCAAGUAUAGGUUCUAAAGAUUCAUAAAAUUCUUUGUUUGGAAAAACCAUGGAAAGAAUAAGAUAAUCUUAAGUAUGACAUGCUGAAUAGAUCUACACCUUUGACAUUGAUCCUGGCACCUGAUGCUUUGUUUUCUUUUUCUUUGACCACUGCUUUUUUAAAAACAUGGAGUGUCUGAAAAUUAAAUAAAAUGCCUAAGAGCCAAGAAUUAUUUAUACUUCAGGGAAGUCAGACCAUCACCUAGUCAUUGAAACAGAUUGAAACAGAGAGCGUGUGUGUGUGUGUGUGUGUGUGUUACGUGCGUGCGUAUAUAUAUACACAUAUGUUAGUCAAUAAAAUCUUACAGUGACAUGGGUUGCACUUUUUACUUUAGGAGGUUUUUUUAUCUUCACAAAAAGCAUAAUAAUCUUUAUUAUAUAAUAAAUUACGGCCUGAUUAGCAAUCUAAAAACCACAUUCAAGGUAGAUCCUUAGUAAAGAGUUCAUUUUUCCCCAACAACUGUGAAUGUUUGUGUGUCAUUCCUUCCACAAAGCACUUUAAUCUAACUGACUUUCAGCAAGUGAAAACUACCAUAUUAUAAGCUGUCCAAUUAAUAAUGUCUUUGUUUCUGUCCUAGCUACUCUCUACCAUGCAUAGUUCAUAAACCAGGUCACAUGCCUUCCCCACGCAGUACCCUUCAGUGGGUCUUCACCUUAUUUAGGUAAAAGCUGAAAUACUACAAUGACCUAGAAAACAUGAACACAAUCCACCUGUAUCUCUUACUUCAUUGCUUAGCACUUCCUUCCUGCUCGCUGCACUGCAGCUGUUGGGCUAUGUACCCUUCUGUUAGCACUCUUUGCCAUUGGGUUCUUUACAUCAACCCUUCCCGCUACUAGACAGCUCUUCAUUCAGUAGCUGUGUGACUUCUUUCUUGAUCUACAGGUCUUCACUCAAAUAUGAUCUUAGGAGGGUUUCUCUCACUCAGUUUAAAGUAACUUUUUUUUUACAGCCUUCUAUAGCAAGUAGAAUAAAACUUGUAAAAAAAUAGAAAUUUCAAUAAAAUUAAAUGUAAGGUUCUAUGAGAGUUAUUGUCUAGUCAUUGACAUCAGAGAAGACGUUUAACUUAUAGUAAGGCUAAGGUUUCUCAGAUGUACAAAGUAAUAGAAAGAUUUUAAAGAAUGUUUCGAAACACUUUGCAGAAGCCAAAGAGAUGAGGAGUAUCUCAGUGAUUUAUAAUAUCUGGAACAUAGAUGGCAUUGGGGCAUGGCAAAUAUAAUGCUACAAAAAUCAUCAGAGGCUUAAUUAUGAGGAAUCAGACAAAGACAGGACUUGUAACACUGUAGCAGAUUGGGCUCACUAACCAUUUUUCAGUAAAUGUUUGUCCCAGUUACCCAAUCUCUUUCUGUGAUAAAUACCAUGACCAAAAAGCAACUUGAGGGUAUGAGUUUAUUCGGCUUAUACUUCCUGAUCACAGUCUAUAGUACAAUCUGAACAAUUCUAAUACCCGUUGAGAACCCAAGGUGAAUGGAGGAAAUCUUACCAGAUGAGGUAGAAACAAGUAAAGCCUCCUGAGAAGGGCAGAAUUGGUCUCCCCUCUGAUUAGGUUAUGCAGUGUCAAGUGGUCAGUCCUAGAAACAUAUAUGUAGGUAACACUGAACAGCCUCUGUAGGUUGUAUUUACAUGUUUGUUUCUUUAUGUUUAUCUAGCAACAAUUUUUAAAGAAGAGGAUAAUAUUAAUUUGGGGGUUGUCAAGGGAGGGACAAGAAGGGGGCAGAAAUGAUGUAAUUAUAUUUUAAUUAAAAAUUUUUAAAGAAAAAAAAUAAGUCCAGCGAAAUGGCCUAGUUGCUAACAGUGAUUCCCAUCAUAGUUGACAACCUGAGUUCAGUCCCUAGGGCCCACGUGGUAGAAGGGAAGAACCGACCACACAAAUUUGUCUUCUAACUACCAAAUGGCUCUGUCAGUAUUUCUUUUGUUCUAAUGAUUUGGGUUUACUAUCCUUAAAACAUGAAAAAAUGAUUUAGAACUUUUUAAUGACCCAAGAAAAUAAUCUCAAAUCAACUACUUCACAGGUAAUUUUUGGUUUAUAAGUAAAACAAGAAAAGCAUGUUUAGUAUGAUCUGUUUAAAAACAAGAAAGGUGACCAUUGCCUGAAGACAAAAUGGCCAAAGACAUGACCCAACACAGGGGAUGGAGAUAGAUGCCGAGAUGUGAUUGGCAAAUCUGUUGAUGUCUGAGAGGUCCAGUCAUUGCCUGGGUGACAGUACAGGAACUGAGAAGUACCCUGCAAUUCCCAGUGCAGUUUUAACACAUGAUCUGCCUGAUCUAAAGCUGCACAGGACAGUGGAACAGAGCUCUAUUAAGACAGUCAUUCCAAGCCAGGAAAGAAGUAAUGGUAUGUCCAUGGGUAUCUCCGAGCCUUUAGACUCUCAGAGACUUAGAAACUCAAGUGGAGGAAUCCCAUCCAGCACGCAUGGGAGUGGGGGGAAGUCUAAUGGGAAUUUACCAAAACAAACAUUUUAUGGUAAAAGCUAUGCAAAGCCAAGGAAGGACUGACACCUACUGGGGACGGAGCAGAAACUCAAUCUAAAAAGCAGCUUGUUUGAACUCCACUGCAUACUACAAAUGUGGUUUUACACCACUGAACAGAAGAUGCAAACCAUCUUCCCCAUCAGCACAGUUUACUACCUGAAAUAUCACAGAGAACAAAGACAUUCAAAAUCUACCUCAGUGAGGUAUAGUGAGUAAUGUAUAUUUUUGCCUAUUCCACUUUUAUUUAACUUUGUCUUUUAAGCAGAAAAAAAACAAAUCUUCCUCAUGGCAUGCUUUAGUUCUUAUUCUUAGAUGGAUCGUUGUACUUGUUUGUACAUCCAUUCUGUUUUGUGCAGUAUACUUACUAGCCCUGUUUGGUAGACCCCAUAUACCUUCCUUGGCAUCCCUACCUCACUCCCUCUCGUCUCCAUCCAACGUCUCUUUGUAUUUCUUAACUGUAACUUCCAUAGCUCUAAUAAUCUUUGAACUCUGUGAUUCCUAACAAUUCCAAAACUUCCCCUUCAUCUACUUUUUCCUCCUUGAUAUUUUUCUGUUAUCUAUUACUGAUCCUUAUUUUGCCAGUUUGCCUUUACAUUUCUUCUUUUUGUCUUGCUAUACACCAUACUUUGUUCCUUUACCCCCACACACACAGCUCAAACUUUUCAAAGUUAAAUAAAGAACUGUUUUAAGUGAAUUGUUAAUGAUAGCUGCAAAGUGUCCUUAUACUCUUGUAAGGGAUUGUGCCACACACCCAUACCCUGAAAGAACAUGUACUAUGUAUUUUGUUCUGAACUGUACCCCAAGUCCACUGGAGAGGGAGACAAUAACUCUACCCUACUACAACUUGGUCCCCCACUUAAACAUUGAAAUAUUUGAAAUGAAGCUGAUUUUUUAAAAAAUCAACUAACAAAAUUAAGUCAGAUAUGUAAGUUAUAAUGCAAAACUACAGAAACAAAAUAAAAUCAUGGAAGUGUGAUCCUUCUGAAGAAUAGCAAUUUCUUAAUAACAGAUUGAAAUGGAAGUGAAGUAAAUGAAAUCCCAGACAAAGAAUACAAACAAUGAGUAUAAAAUGUUCAACAAAUUUAGAGAAUUUAUAAACUCCUAAAUGGUUUCAAAGAGAACCUUUUUAACUAGCAGAGGGAAUAAAGGAAUUCCACAUGGUAGAAGAUUUCAGAAAAGAGAUAGAAACAUUUAUUUAUAAAAUGGGGCGUAAAUUUUAACUUUGCUAACUUUUUAUAUUCAGCUGUACAUAACUUGGCUAUUUAGGCCAUGCUUUGAGAUAAACAGCAAUUUUUUCCAUGAUGUCUUUCAGUUGUACAGGAAUAAUUUCAGUUGGGGAUCUCUUUUAAGAAAAAGUAGAUUUAAAACAGCCAGUAUUUCUCCAAUGUUCAAAUCAAUGGUGCUUUAUUUAAUAAAACUACUUGCAAGAGAUUGAUUUGUUCAUUUGGUGUCUUGUUACUUUGCUUUACAAUGGUAUAAACACUACACCAACACCUUCUCUAUAUUCUUGAACUGUUUUCAAUGAUAAAAUUACAUUUGACUUCAAACUAAAUUUGACUGACUGUAAAAAGAAAAAAAUAAAAUAAAAAAAGAUAAAAUACUGAAAAUAAAUGAGACUAGAAUUGUAGGAAUGAAAACCUCAUUGAGUGAAAUACAGAGCACAGAGGAGUCUCUUGAGUAGACAGAUCAAGUGGAAGCCAGAAUUCCAGGAAUAGAAGAUGAAUUAGAUCAUUCAUAAAUCAACAAAAUUAAAUAGUAAAUAAUUGUACAUUUAUAUUUCUCACAGUAUUAUUUAUAGUAGCUAAGAAUUAGCCUAGGUGUCUAUCAACAGAGAAUGAAUAUAUAAAAUGUGAUAAUAGGCACAAUGAAAAUUUAUUUCAGGCAGAAGAAUGAAAUAGUGAUACUUUUUAAAAAAUUGAUUCAACUAGAAAUUAUUAGUUAGAAAAUUAAUUCAGAGUCAGAAACAGACAUAUCAUGUUCUCUAUCAUUCAUGGAUCCUAAACAUUCUAUAGACAUGUAAAACUGUAUAUAUGACAUGCAAGGAGAAGUAAAAGAGUCUAGAGGAAUGAAUAGUUCUAAAAGGAGUGUGGUAUGGGUGAUACAGAAGAAAUGUAGAGUGUUUAGGACGGGACAGAGUUCAAGUUUCUUAUAUACUUGUAUGAAAAUGUCUUUAUGGGGGCUGGAGAGAUGGCUCAGUGGGUAAGAGCACUGACUGCUCUUCCAAAGGUCCUUAGUUCAAAUCCCAGCAACCACACAGUGGCUUACAACCACCCGUAAUGAGAUCUGAUGCCCUCUUCUGGUGCGUCUGAAGAUGGCUACAGUGCACUUACGUAUAAUAAUAAAAUAAAUCUUAAAAAAAAGAAAAGAAAAGAAGAUGUCUUUAUGAAAUGUACCAUGUAUGCUGAAAAUAUGCUAAUUAAAAAUAGUGCCUAAUGGAAAGUAUACAAGCAGUGUAAUGAUAUGAGCAAAUUACACAUUUUGUGCGUUCCUUUCUUUGAAAUUCUCCAAAAUGGAAAUACUAUACAUACAUUGUAUGUUUUAUUUUACCAUGCUUUCUUUCUAUCAUGGAAAGGUGGACAGUUAUCUCUCACCAUUCUCGUAGGUAGUGUGAACCUGGGAAGUGGGGCAUAAAAAUGAGGCAGACUAAAGUCUCAUCCAAAGGUGCUCUUUGUUCAGAGCAGCAGACACUUCAUACUCUGAAGGUUAAGAAGAAUUGCCUGAGUAAAGUGUAUAAUGACAAGGACAAGCCACAUACUGCAAAACAAAAUAAAACAAAACAUGUUUUACUUAGAGAUACAUAAACAAAUAACAAAAUCCAGCUGCUAUGAAAAAUAUGAAGUAAGCUCACUCCUAUCCACUAUACCUAGGAUACAUAAAGCAUAUUCCAAGAAUAUCUCAUGUUAUCAGGGAACAGAGAUUACAAAAUUCUUGUUUUGUUUACUUGGUGUUUUCUCACCAAAGUCUCAGAUCUUACCUCACACAGCUUCAUUCAUGGACCAUGUUCCAACAAUCACUAAAAAUAAAAUAACACCUAGAAAAGUGAAAACAAGAAAGUAUGCAGAAUGAGAAAAAUAAAAUUAUAGAUACUUUGAAAACUAAAUUUUUUAUUAAUUAGGUAUUUUCUUCAUUUACAUUUCCAAUGCUAUCCCAUAAGUCCCCCAUCCCCCCUCCCCCCCCCUACUUCCCUACCCACCCCACUCCCACUUCUUGGCCCUGGUGUUCCCCUGUACUGAGGCAUAUAAAGUUUGCAAGACCAAGGGGCCUCUCUUCCCAAUGAUGGCCGACUAGGCCAUCUUCUGAUUCAUAUGCAGCUAGAGACAUGAGCUCCGGGGGUACUGGUUAGUUCAUAUUGUUGUUCCACCUAUAGGGUUGCAGACCCCUUUAGCUCCUUGGUGAAAACUAAAAUUUAUAAAUAAAAAUCAUGUUAUUGAAACUCAAGUGACUAAAAUGUAGGCUGAAAGUGGGGAAUUGAAAAAUAUAGGAUAUAGUGUCAAUGAAGAUAUCCAAAACAAAAAAAAAAUUAUGAAAGUGUUUGGAGUAGAAGGCUCAGUUUCUAGAGACAUUAUUGAGUUUCACAGGAGAGAAUGCAGGAAAAAGUUGAGCCAGCCAUCCUUACUUGUAACACCUGACUAUAUUCUAGAACUGAAGGAAAAAAAGCAUUAUGUGAACAUUAUCAAACUACUAAAGAAGAAAUUAUUUAAGUUAUACUAGUGAUCCAGGGCAAAGUUCUUGUGAUCAAUACAGAUUAUCAAAAAGAGCAGAGGGUUCCAAAUGCAUAACUAUCAUCUAGAGUUUUAUGUUAGAUGAAAGCAGAAAUAAAUUUUGGAGAUUGAAAAAUAAAAAGCAAUUCAAACAUAUUCACUAAGAAGAAAAUUCACAGGGAUACAUAGACAUGUAAAAAAGUAAUUUUUAAAAUUGUGAGCUUAUAUAUGCACUCAAUCAUCUAUUGACUUAUUUUAAAACUACUUUUCCUUUGUAAGAUAACAGAGAAGAAUGAUGAAGUAUUUCAUCUACUGUAAAAUAGGAUAUGUAUUUUGGAGUGAAAAUGGGCCUUUAUGACAAAAGUAGAAAAUAAGUUAGCUGAGCUAUUUACUCUGUCUUUCAAAAUCACUAGUGAGGUGACAUUGUGAUACAAGAGAGAUUUUUUGUUAUGGCUGUUUCACAGCUUAUUCAUCCAUAAUGACGAAGCAGUCAAUGUCUCUGCCUGUACUGGUGGGAGCUGGCCCUUCAGCUAGUUGUAGCUUUGCAAUUAAGAAAGGGUUAGAACUAGAAACUGAAAGCACUUUUUUUUUCAAUUUUUUUAUUAGAUAUUUUCUUCAUUUACAUUUCAAAUGCUAUCCCAAAAGUCCCCUAUAACCUCCCCCUGCCCUGCUCCCCUACCCACUCACUCCCACUUCUUGGCCCUGGCGUUCCCCUGUACUGGGGCAUAUAAAGUUUGUAAGACCAAGGGGCCUCUCUUCCCAAUGAUGGCCAACUAGGCCAUCUUUUGAUACACAUGCAGCUAGAGUCCAGAGCUCCAGGGUACUGGUUAGUUCAUAUUGUUGUUCCACCUAUAGGGUUGCAGAUCCCUUUAGCUCUUUGGGUACUUUCUCUAGCUCCUCCAUUGGAGGCCCUGUGUUCCAUCCAGUAGCUGACUGUGAGCAUCCACUUCUGUAUUUGCCAGGCACUAGCAUAGCCUCACAGGAGACAGCUAUAUCAGGGUCCUUUCAGCAAAAUCUUGCUGGCAUGUGCAUUAGUGUCUGAGUUUGGUGGCUGAUUAUGGGAUGGAUCCCCGGGUUGGGGUAGUCUCUGGAUGGUCCAUCCUUUCGUCUUAGCUCCAAACUUUGUCUCUGUAACUCCUUCCAUGGGUAUUUUAUUCCCUAUUCUAAGGAGGAGUGAAGUAUCCACAUGUUGGGAACCAUCCCCAGUGACCUGCUGAGACAUAGCCCCACAAGUUUUACAAACUCCCAGAACCUGGUCCCUGAGGUUUUAGUCUUUUUAUAUAACAACAGAGCAUUUUGUAGUAUGUUACUAUCUCUUCUCUUGAAAAAUUGUUAAAAUUUAUUAGUUUGUUGAUAGGUACAAUUUAAAUAAUUGAUGUACUGGAUUAAAAAAAAGUUGUUUAAAAUGAAUUGUUACUGUUCAGAAGGAGUUUCAAACCGUACUUUGAGAGUCAUAGUCUAGUAGUAACCAUCACUUCAGUCUUCUAGAGGUUAAUAAUUUAUGGUGUGUUUGAGUAAACCACAGUAGCAGAGAUUAAGUGACUUCACCCACGUCACAUGAACAAAGGAAAGGAGUUUUGAUGGGUGAAACUCCACACAGGCAUGAACAUCUGUUUCUCUGUCCCUAGCACCUAACAUCAAAACAUGGCAGUUACUGUAUAUUCCAGGUGUAGAGCGUAUAUGUAUUUUCUCUAUUAUGAAGGCUCUCUGUUUACUCACAUUCACGUUGUGCAGAAGCUUUUUCUCUUCAUACAUUCCCAUUUUUCAAGUCCUGCUAUUAUUUCUCAAGACAUUAAAGUCUUAAAAAACAAAAACAGAGACAACAAACAGUCUUUGAUCAUACAUGCCUUGCUUUUCCCUAACAGUUUCAGAGUUUGGCUUUAAGCCCUCUUUCACCUAUACUAACAUACUUGAGUCAUCAAAACAGUUCAGGGUGGGUUAAAGGGAAUAAUUUCUGCAUGACCCUGUGCUUUUUUUUCUGAGUAUCAUUCAGAAAUAUUUAAGCUUUGAAAGUUAGCAGAUGCCCCAGAAAUGACCAUGUCCUUCUCAGAGUGUCCAUUCUUGUUAAAUACAUUUCUGUCUGCCUUUCUCUGCUCUAUUGAAUAACGAAACAGUCAUCAUAUUGCAGAUGACCUCACCUUGUCCAUAGGUUAUAACAGCUUGCCUGCUUGCUUGGUUUUUUGUUUUUUGGGUUUGUUGUUGUUGUUGUUGUUGUUUUUAAAAUAAGGCAAUAGAAGAAUGAUGGAGAUUUCAAAAGCCAAAUUGUUAGAUUGAAAUUUUCUAUACAAGCCCACGUAUCUCAAAUACAUUAUUAAAAUGAAUUCAUGAGGACAUGAGUGAAGUUAGACUUACUUCUGUAAGUCAAACAUAGAUUUCUAUGACAGCUAGAUGAAAUGCAGCCAUGGGCUGCUGUUAGGAAGAAGUAGAGUUGUUCCUGGGUACUUGGGAAGACUGAACAUAAUGUAGAUGUCAGAGAAGAAGGCAAGGCCCUUCCAGGACAUAAUGCUGAAGCAGACACUGAUACAGUGAAGUUGGUGGAGUCUUAGAUAAAGUAGAAGUGCUUAUUAGAGACCUACACUUCAGUACAGUUUUAAGAUGUCAGAAAGAUCUCGUAUAUCUUUAAGGAUCAUUUACAAUCCACGAUCAUUUUCUAGUUAGAAUGACACAAACUUAUAAUCAAGGAAUUUGGGGGGAAGGUUGACCAGGAGUUCUAGGUUUAUGUCAGCUCUAAGCUGCAUAGAGAUUUCAAGACAACCCUUUCUGGAUGGAUGGGCGGAUGGAUGGAUGGAUGGAUGGAUGGAUGGAUGGAUGGAUGGAUGGAUGGAUGGAGUGGGUGGUUAGGUGGAUAGAUAAGGGAAGAUUGGUUGUAUAAGAAAUUAAAACUUUUAACUUUUUGAAAAAGAAGAUGUUAAAAACAUUUAUGAAGAUUAAUUUACUUAAUCCUCUUAGUGAUCACUUCACAUGGAAAUUAACUUUAUUAUAUGAGAACACAGAAAAAUAAAGAGAAGUAACCAGUUUGAUGUUUUAUGAGACAAAUAAAGCUAGUGAACAAGACCCAGUUCUUACCCACAAGGUGAUCAAAAUCCAGAGGACAUAAUUAGUCUAUGUCCCUGCUAAUGUGGAAAGACUUACUUUGCAAUCUGCAAUGUCACAAAGUUGCCCCAACUAAAUGUUCUUUGUGCCUCAUUCUCUUCUCUUCUCCCAUGCAGUACAUGAUUUCUGCUAGCAUUCUCAGAUCCCCACCUCUUUAUCCUUGCUAGAAUGACAUUGUGUGCCCCCAGUAUCAGCAGAGACACUGUUGCUUUUUAGCAUCUUUACAUUUGUGUAAAUUUACAUUAGCUUAUUUGUGGCUUUAUUCAUUUGUGUUUUGGAUAUAUGAACUCAUAUAAUAAUUAAAAUAAAAUUAUUUCCAACUCAGAUUUAGAAGACCUUUAAAGUAUAACUUGUCCAUCAAAUUUAUCUUUCAAAUGAACUUACAGUGGGAAAGAGAUUUAUAUUUGCAUAUCACAAAGAAUGAUCUAUCAUGGUCCUUCUCCAGACUUAAUGACACCUAUGGAGUUUAUUUGCCUUAAAUGAGCAGAUGUUUAAACAUUUUAAUCCCCUUAUAAAGCUUUAUUCUCAAUCAACACAAAUAGCGGCAAACCUCAGCUCUAAUGUAAGAAUUCAGUGGGGCAAUAUUAACUCUUAUGCAAACAUUUGCUUGUGUUCUCUUAGCAAAAUCAAGAAGAAAGAACACAUUUUAGAACAACCCAUCUCACUGUUCUUCACAUAGGAGCAAACUAUUGUUUGGAACAUUAAUGGGCAACAGGCUCAGCAUUUAUCCACUUUGCCUCCAUGAGCAAAGCAUAGGCUCUGCUGGGUACCUGGAAGUCCUCCAAAACCUCAAUCUGCCACUUAACUUGCAUUUUUGUAUCAAAUAGUUUCCUAAGUAACAUUUUGGGGUGAUUUUUCCUUCUCAGUUUCUCCCAUAUACCAUUUCUAAUGCAAAAGAAGAAGCCUAAACCAGAAAGCAGGUUUCAGAUAAUCCCUGUAAGAAAACAUUUCUGACAUUGCUUAUCACUAUUUCCUUUCCUUUCCUCUAGACUAAAUUAAGCAGACCCUGUGCUUGCUAGCAGGAUCAUUUCUAAUCUGGUUGUGCUUCAUUUCCUUCUGUCCCAUCACAGAGCUUUUAACACAGCUGCUUCCCCUGCCCAAAGAAAAGUUAAAAAAAAAAAAAAACUCAUGCAUAAAUAACAUCAGACAGUAUCUUGCUGAAGUAUUAGAACCCACAAAAAUGUGCUCAGAUUCCCUGACCUCCAGGCAAAAGAAGAAACAGAGAUUGUUUUGCAGAACUGUUUCAGGACAGUUGAGGAUGGAAUUGUAUAGAGCCCAUCUUGACCCAUCUGGGGUCUCUUCAAAUUCAGGUACCACGUUCCUUCUCACCCACCAAAGGCUUACUUCUUUCUGGUUAUGUGCACAUUUUGUCCCCAUUUCCUGACAGUCUCAAGAACUACACCAUCAGUUGAAAAAAAUUAUUCAUAUUUCAGUUCCUUCAAAUCUAGUUCUUUCAUUUCCUUUUUUACUUACUUGUGACGAUCUAACACACAACUAACAUUCUUUUAUUCUCUGGGUCUGAAUUGUUUCAAGAUUUUUUUUUAAUGCAAGGAGAUUCUAAUAUAAGAGAGUUCAGGAACCCUCCUCAAAAAUUACCUAAUCAUCAAAAGAUUAUGUAGAUACAAUGUGGUACUCCAGAGUCUAUCCUGGGAAAGAAAAAAAAAAUCUGUCAGUAGAAAAGCUAGGAAAAUUCAAAGGCCCUAGUGAAUAGUUGAGUAUAAAACCCAAGUGUUUUCUGAGUUUUGAUGAAGGUAUCUAAGCAGCUUACAUGAAGUGAAGCUAGAUGAAGACUGUGGAAACUCCCUCUUAUCCUUGUAGCUUUUCUGUAAAUGUGAAAUAUUACAAGAUAUUUUUAAGGUUUUAAUGAUACUAAAGCCAAGGGUUUAUAGAUUUGGAAUACUUAGUAACAAAUGUGCAGAAAGUCAAACAUACACUUGAUUUCCCUAUAAUGUUCUUGCUAUAAAUCCAUCACACACUCAGAAGUCACAUAAACCUAGAUAUGCCUGCCUUUUGUGUGUAAAUUGUGAGCAGUUAAUUGAUUUCUCUGAAAAUAGUUUUCUUGGGUGUGUGACUGGGAUAUUAUCCAUCACUGCCUUCGGAGACUAUCCUGAGGAGCUACCACAUGGCCUGCCACAUGUGAACAAUCAACAUCAUCUUCGCAGCAGCCACCCAGAGUGCUACUUUGAGAAAAGUAAAAUUUGGAUACAUGUUUUUGCUCUAUCUUUGUUUUCACUCCUGAAAAUUAUUCUCUUCCAUUCCAGGAUUGUCUAGGUCUUGACUUUUACUAAAAAUAAGAUGGGGGGGGGGGG
This is a long non-coding RNA of Mus musculus (house mouse), 23117 nucleotides long. RefSeq annotates it as predicted gene, 39342. NCBI's taxonomy places the organism in Eukaryota, Metazoa, Chordata, Mammalia, Rodentia, Muridae. The transcript has 2 exons. The record is from RefSeq and is a predicted model, not a curated record.